Myotis lucifugus (little brown bat) is the source of this 82-nucleotide non-coding RNA. Lineage: Eukaryota; Metazoa; Chordata; Mammalia; Chiroptera; Vespertilionidae. The record is from Rfam.
GUGUGCAGUGCCUUUCACAAGAAGGUGCCAUUCAUGUGGGCUAAAAUAUGAAUGGCACAAUUUUGUGAAGGGUAAUGUACAA